RNAcentral lists this long non-coding RNA (6224 nucleotides) under Brassica napus (rape). RNAcentral's name for it is "long non-coding RNA (BNAP_LNC022912)". Lineage: Eukaryota; Viridiplantae; Streptophyta; Magnoliopsida; Brassicales; Brassicaceae. The record is from RNAcentral.
ACGAGGCCAUAGAUUUGCUUCUCAAAUCUCUUAGUUGAUGAUCUCGAACCAACCUUAUCCCGGAUCAACCUUAUGUUAUAUUAUGUCUUUCAUUUCAUGUUUUCAAACUUGUCUUUUGUUUCUAUUUUCAAGAGAGCGUGUGACUUUACUCUCUUGAUAGUUUUCGAGAAGCUUGGAGUCUGUUCCAACUUCUCUUAUAUAAGUGUACUUUGAACCCCUUAUCAAUAAUCAAUUAUCUUUUAUCAUAAACCUUUUCUUUGUUCUCUCUACUGCUUGUCCGCGAGUUGUUGAGUGUUCUUGUUGGUGUGUAGUAUCCAACAACCUAAGAGUGUCUAUCUCGGUGUGUCAUAUCCGAUCUAGUCACUUAGGAGUAUCAAGGAGCCUUUCCGCAGCCUCUUGUGUCACCAAUCGAUCCACAACCUUGUAGAGCUUGAGUCUUUGAUUCGUUCUAGCAAGGAUCUAUCCCAUACUAUCCAGAGAAGCAAUCUAGGGACGUAUUAUGUGGUAUCAGAGCAUCUCUGGUUAGGGAAGUACUCGUUUCUCUUUUGUUUCGAUUUAACCUGUUCAUCUUCUUGAUCAGUUUUUAGAUCGAUCCGUUUUGUUUCAACUGAUCUGUUCUUUGUUUCGCAAUAUCCAUUGAUUGAUCUGUGAUCCGUGGUCGUUUGAGUGUGUGAUCUAAUCAUUUUGUGUCGAUCUAAUUGUUAAAAGUUUGAGAUUGAUAGAUCUAGGUUUCGCGUUUUUUAGAUCCGAUUGUUAUCGAUUCAUAUUCUAGAUUUGAUCUUUUGUUUGAAUCUAAUUGAUCGUGUGAUCUGUUUUAAAUCACCUAUAACAACUAGAUCUACUUGUGUGUCGUCGAAAUCUGAUUAACAAACCUACCUUGAUCGCGUUUCUAUUGUGAUUUUCAAGUUGUCGAUUUGAAUCCUUCUUUGCUUGAUAAUCAAGUUUUCUUUUACCGCCAGUUAUUUUCAGUUUAAAAUCUCUUGAUCAUCUACUGAUUACGAUCAGUUUAUUGGAACUAUUUACUGGUUGAGUGUUGUUAUUGAUUCUAGGUACCAAUGGGGAAAGAAUCAGAAGAAGAAGCCGAGCUAGUAAGGAAGAACAAGAUGCUGAGAGAUCAAAUGACCGAACAAAUGAAUCAGACCAUGAUCUCUACUAUGGCUGAUAUGCUCAAGGCUAGCAUGAAGGAAUUACGUGAGGAGAUGAGACAAGAGUUGAGGCAAGCUACUGGCCAGGGACAUAGCAAUGAGUCUAGAAGAAACCGGCCUACUCCAGUACGGCAAGAGCAUGCGGGUUCACAAGAAACCGACAACUACUACUCGCGCAAUAGAACUGAGCACAACCCAACGGAGCGCAGUAGUUCAUCUUCUGAACUGAGCAGAGGAAGAUCAAGGCGUGAACAUGAUGGAAGGGGGUCACGCAAAGACAAGCUUUCAGGACUUAAGCUUAAGAUUCCACCCUUCCAUGGCAAGGUGGAUCCAGAUGCCUACUUGGAGUGGGAAAAGAAGAUCGAGCUUGUCUUCAAUUGUCAACACUACUCCAAUGCCCAAAGGAUCAAGAUUGCAGCAACUGAAUUCUAUGAUUAUGCGUUGAGUUGGUGGGAUCAACUUGUAACUACUAGACGGCUUAACCAAGAGAAUCCGGUUGAUUCAUGGCACGAGAUGAAGUCACUCAUGCGCAAACGGUUUGUUCCAAGUCACUAUCACCGCGACCUACAUCAAAAGCUGCGAAGACUUACCCAAGGAACACGAACUGUUGAAGAAUACUAUCAAGACAUGGAGUUGCUGAUGUUGAGAGCUAGUAUCUUGGAGGAUAGAGAAGCCACUAUGGCAAGGUUUCUUGGAGGGCUUAACCGUGAGAUACAAGACAAUGUGGAGAUGCAACACUAUGUGGAAAUAGAAGAGAUGUUGCACAAAGCUAUUCUAGUGGAGCAGCAGCUCAAGAGGAAGGGUAACUCACGCAGCUAUGGAUCAUCUAAGUUCCACCACUCUAAAGAAGAGAAAACAUCCUAUCUGAAGGAUAGCAAGCCUCAGCAGAAAGAAGCGACUAAGCCGAGCAGCAUAUACAGCAAAGACAAAGGCAAAGCUGAAAUUACUAGUUCAAGAACUAGAGAUGUUAAGUGCUUCAAAUGUCAAGGGCGUGGGCAUUAUGCUAAUGAGUGCACCAACAAAAAGGUUAUGAUUCUUCUUGAGAAUGGAGAGUAUGAAUCAGAGGAAGAGAAGUUUGGUUCUGAUCAUGAGGAGUCUGAAGAAGAAAGUGAAGUAGAACCCGUGAAAGGAAGAUUGUUGGUGACAAGAAGGCUCUUGAACGUGCAAGCCAAGAAUGGAGAGUUUGAGCAGCGAGAGAAUCUAUUCUACACAAGGUGUAUGGUUCAGGGAAAGGUGUGCAGUCUCAUUAUUGAUGGAGGAAGUUGUGUCAAUGUAGCCAGUGAGACUAUGGUGAAGAAAUUGGGUUUGAAAAUUCAGAAACACCCAAGACCCUACAGAUUGCAGUGGCUCAAUGAGGAGGGCGAGAUGAAAGUUUCUACUCAAGUACUGGUUCCUAUAGCCAUUGGUAGAUAUGAAGAUGAAGUCUUGUGUGAUGUGUUGCCAAUGGAAGCCAGUCAUAUACUCCUUGGAAGACCCUGGCAGUAUGAUAGACGUGUGAAUCAUGAUGGCUUCACCAACAAACAUUCUUUUGAAUUCAACGGAAAGAAGACUGUGCUGGUGCCUCUGUCUCCUAAAGAGGUUCAUGAAGAUCAAAUCCAGCUUCAGAAAAAGAAAGCGAAAGAGAUUGAUCUCAAACCUGAUCAUGACAAGCAUCACAGCCUCUAUGCCAAACAGGGAGAUAUCAAAAGAAUUCUCUACUCUCAAAAUUCUAUUAUCUUGCUUAUGUUUAAAGAGACUCUUCUAACCAUUACUGAUCACACACCGGAUCAUCCGAGUGAACUAGUUUCUCUUUUACAGGAGUAUGCAGAUGUGUUUCCAGAAGAUAGCCCCAUUGGAUUGCCUCCAGUGCGUGGGAUUGAGCACCAAAUAGACUUUGUACCUGGUUCUACACUGCCCAACCGUCCAGCAUACAGGACCAAUCCACUUGAAACCAAAGAACUGCAGAAACAAGUAGAGGAGCUGAUGGAGAAGGGUCAUAUCCGAGAAAGUUUGAGUCCUUGUGCAGUUCCAGUGCUCCUUGUGCCAAAGAAAGAUGGGAGCUGGCGCAUGUGUGUUGAUUGUAGAGCAAUCAACAACAUAACAGUGAAGUAUCGCCACCCUAUUCCUAGAUUAGAUGAUAUGCUUGAUGAAUUGCAUGGUUCUUGCAUCUUUUCUAAGAUAGACUUGAAAAGUGGAUAUCAUCAGAUUAGGAUGAAAGAAGGAGAUGAAUGGAAAACUGCAUUUAAAACUAAACAUGGCUUGUAUGAAUGGUUAGUUAUGCCAUUUGGAUUAACCAAUGCGCCUAGUACAUUCAUGAGAUUGAUGAAUCAUAUUCUUAGGUCUUUCAUAGGCAUCUUUGUUGUUGUGUACUUUGAUGAUAUCUUAGUUUACAGCAAAUGCUUAGAAGAUCAUAUAGAACAUCUUAGGGCUGUUUUGGAUGUUUUGAGAAAGGAAAAGCUAUAUGCCAAUCUAAAGAAGUGCACUUUUUGCACAGAUAACUUGGUCUUUCUAGGUUUUGUUGUAAGUGCAGAUGGUGUAAAAGUGGAUCAGGAAAAGAUCAAAGCAAUACAAGAGUGGCCGAGUCCAACUACAGUGGGAGAAGUAAGGAGUUUUCAUGGACUGGCAGGUUUCUAUAGGCGCUUUGUGAAGGAUUUCAGCACUCUAGCAGCUCCCCUAACUGAGAUAAUCAAGAAGGAUGUAGGAUUCAAGUGGGGAGAAGCUCAGGAAGCCGCAUUCCAACUCCUUAAAGAGAAGCUUACUCAAUCUCCUCUUCUCAUACUUCCUGAUUUUUCUAAAACAUUUGAAAUAGAAUGUGAUGCCUCAGGAAUUGGAAUUGGUGCUGUGUUGAUGCAGGAUAAAAGACCUAUUGCUUAUUUCAGCGAGAAACUCAGUGGAGCUACUCUCAACUACGCCACUUAUGACAAAGAACUCUACGCCUUGGUGAGAGCUCUACAGACUUGGCAGCAUUAUCUCUGGCCAAAGGAGUUUGUCAUUCACACCGACCAUGAAUCUCUCAAGUAUCUCAAAGGACAAAGUAAGCUCAGCAAGAGACAUGCUAGAUGGGUAGAAUUCAUUGAAACCUUCCCGUAUGUGAUCAAAUACAAACAAGGUAAGGAGAAUAUAGUUGCUGAUGCACUAUCCCGAAGGUAUGUCCUCUUAACUACUCUUGAUGCUAAGUUGCUAGGCUUUGAGCAGAUUAAAGAAAUGUAUGAAUCUGAUCCUGACUUUCAAGAAGCUUAUAAAUCAUGUGCUAAGUAUGCUUCAGGACAUUAUUUUAGGCAUGAUGGAUUCUUAUUCUAUGACAAUCGUUUAUGUGUGCCUAAUUGCUCUUUAAGAGAUCUAUUUGUCAGGGAAUCCCAUGGAGGAAGCUUGAUGGGUCAUUUUGGUAUAGCAAAAACCCUUAAAGUUUUGCAGGAUCACUUCUAUUGGCCGCAUAUGAAAAGAGAUGUGGAGAGAAUCUGUGGAAGGUGCACAACUUGCAAGCUUGCAAAGUCUAAGGUUCAACCUCACGGUUUGUAUACUCCUUUGCCUAUUCCUACUCAUCCUUGGAAUGAUAUAUCUAUGGACUUUGUUAUGGGUUUGCCUAGAACUAGGACUGGAAAGGAUUCUAUCUUUGUGGUUGUUGAUAGAUUCUCUAAAAUGGCACAUUUCAUAGCUUGCAAUAAGACUGAUGAUGCAUUACAUGUAGCUAAUUUGUUCUUUAAAGAAGUGGUACGUUUGCAUGGGAUGCCUAGGACUAUAGUUUCAGAUAGAGAUACUAAAUUCCUUAGCUACUUUUGGAAAACAUUGUGGUCUAAACUAGGAACUAAGCUAUUGUUUUCUACUACUUGUCAUCCACAAACUGAUGGGCAAACUGAAGUAGUUAAUAGAACCUUAGGUACUCUCCUGCGUGCAUUCAUUAAAAAGAACUUGAAAUCAUGGGAAGAUUAUUUACCUCAUUGUGAAUUUGCAUACAAUCAUGCUAUGCAUUCUGCUUCUAAGUUUUCUCCGUUUGAAAUUGUUUAUGGGUUCAAUCCCAUCUCACCUUUGGAUCUAAUACCUUUACCUGAGUGUGAAAGGGUUAGUAUGGAUGGGAAAAAGAAAGCUGAGAUGGUUCAGCAAAUUCAUGAGCAAGCUAAGCGCAAUCUAGAAGAGAAAACUAAGCAAUACGCCAAACAAGCCAACAAGGGAAGGCGUGAGAUGAUCUUUGAAGUUGGAGAUCAAGUAUGGGUUCACUUGAGGAAAGAAAGGUUUCCAAAAGAGAGGAAGUCUAAGCUAAUGCCAAGGAUUGAUGGCCCUUUUGAAGUCACCAAGAGGAUCAAUGACAAUGCCUACAAACUUGAUCUGCAAGGUAAGUACGACAUAAGUGAUAGCUUCAAUGUUACUGACUUGAUCCCUUUUGUUGCAGAUGAGCCAGAUUUGAGGUCAAAUCCUUUUCAAGAGGGAGGGGAUGAUGUGAUCAUGGACCAACUAUCUAAUGGAGAUGAUGAGGAUCUGGAUAAGCCGACUGAUGGAGAUGUUCUAGCCUUGCCUAAAGGACCUAUGACUCGAUCAAGAUCAAGGAAGCUCACGCAAGUUAUUGGAGGAUUGGUUAAGAGGUCAUGGAAGCAAGAGGAAUGUCUUGGUAGAAGCUUGAUCAACCAAGACACACUUAUCACCAUUCAAGCAACUUCACCAUCAAGCUGAUCAUCAACUAAGCAAGCAAACUAUGUGUGCUCUUUUUCCCUAUCUUUGGUUUUGUCCCAAUGGGUUUUCCAAAGAUAGGUUUUUAACGAGGCCAUAGAUUUGUUUCUCAAAUCUCUUAGUUGAUGAUCUCGAUCCAACCUUAUCCCGGAUCAACCUUAUGUUAUAAUAAGUCUUUCAUUUCAUGUUUUAUUUUCAAACUUGUCAUUUGUUUCUAUUUUCAAGAGAGCGUGUGCCUUUACUCUCUUGAUAGUUUUCGAGAAGUUUGGAGUCUGUUCCAACUUCUCUUAUAUAUAAGUGUACUUUGAACCCCUUAUGAUCAUCAAUUAUCUUUUAUCAUAAACCUUUUCUUUGUUCUCUCUACUGCUUGUCCGCGAGUUGUUGAGUGAUCUUGUUGGUGUGUAAUAUCCAGCAACCCAAGAGUGUCUAUCUCGGUGU